RNAcentral lists this long non-coding RNA (5298 nucleotides) under Homo sapiens (human). RNAcentral describes it as "HSALNT0051221". Lineage: Eukaryota; Metazoa; Chordata; Mammalia; Primates; Hominidae. The record is from RNAcentral.
AUUUAUUUAUUAUUUCAAUAGGUUUUUGGGGAACAGGUUGUGUUUGAUUUCAUGAAUAAAUUCUUUAGUGGUGAUUUCUGAGAUUUUGGUGCACCCAUUACCCGAGCAGUGUACACUGUACCCAACGUGCAGUCUUUCCUUUCCCCUGAGCCCCCAGAGUCCAUUGUGUCAUUCUUAUGCCUUUGUGUCCUGAUAGCUUAACUCCCACUUAUUAAUGAGAACAUACAAUGUUUGGUUUUCCAUUUCUGAAUUACUUCACUUAGAAUAACGGUCUCUAAUUCCAUCCAGGUUGCUGCAAAUGCCAUUAUUUCAUUCCUUUUUAUGGCUGAGUAGUAUUCCAUGGUGUAUAUAUCUAUAUUACAUUUUCUUUAUCCAUUCGUUGAUUGCUGGGCAUUUGGAAUGGUUCCAUAUUUUUGCACUUGUGAAUUGUGCUGCUAUACACAUGUGUGUGCAGGUAUCUUAAUAGCACCUACUUUGCAGGGCUGGAUUCCAUGCAGUAACUCUUCUAAUGCCCUCAGAACAGGGCCUGAUGCAUGGGGAAGACCUGAGUAUGUGCUCCUUGUUUUUAUUAUUUACUAAAUUAGGGUGAUCAGGGGAACUAUAAUUACUUGCUAGCAGGGUGUCUAAGGCAGCAGUUCUCAAGUUUUGGAUCUCAGGACCCUUUAACGUUUAGAAAAAUUAGUGCAGGCCUUGAGCUGUUGUGUAUAGGUCUGUCGUAUCUGUCCAUAUUUACAAUAGUAGAAAUUAAAGCUGUGAAAAAAUUAUGUAUUAAUUCAUUUGAAAAUGUUAACGAAUCUAUUUUGUUUACAUAAAUAAUACAUUUUUCAUGAAAAAUAGCUCUAUGUUUUAAAACCAAUAAAAUAAUAUGAAAGUGAGAAGUGACCUCGUUUUACAUCUUUGCAAAUCUCUUCACUGCCUGGCUUAAUAGAAGUCAGCUGGACUCUCACAUCCACUGUUGCCUUCAUUCUGCUACAAUAUCACACCACGUGUAGCCCUGGGAAACUCCACUGUACACCUGUGAGAGCAUGAGUGUGAGAAGGCAAAUAUCUUCCUACUGCUAUGAAAAUAAUUUUGGCCUUUUGUUCUCCUGAUCCUCUGAGAGACAUCUUAGGACCUCACUUAGAGAAUCACUGUCUAAGGUCUAUUUCAGGCAGGGGCCUCUCCAGCCCCUGAUGCCCUCCUGGCACCUGCUGGGCCUGGGGCUGAGUCCAGGCUUGCAGAAUCUAGUGGUGGCGGCGUGGUUAGUUGAUGGUGUGCAUUUGCAGCUGCUCUCUGAUCCAGUAGCACUGGGGAGGCAUGCAUGGGACUUCCCUGCACUUUACAGUGAGGACGCUCUGGCUCAGAGGGUGGAAGGGCCAAGAGUGGGGGCUGUGCAGGGGGCAUGCUGCUCUGCGUGAGGCAGGAGGGAGCCUCAGAAGGGUGCUCUCUUGGGCCUCAGAGGUUGUCUCUCUUCAUGCUGAAGUACCUCUUGCCUGAUAUGGCCUCUUAGGGGAGGUGGCAUUGGGUCUCUCUCCAACCUACACAUCCCCAAGUCCACCCUAUCACCGUGCACCCAAGACACCCUCACCCGCCUGCCUACCAGCCCCCAGCAAUGCACACACUGGGCCAGGCAGGUGCAGGGACUGCAGGUGAAUGAUGAAGGUCAAGCCACGGGCGCCUGGGUGAGACAGGUUUGCCCGGGCCUCCCUGAGCCCUGGUCUGUGGCCUGGGUCUGGAUGGGUGUGCUUUAUGUGCAUGUGACCUCUACCCCUGGGGGUGGCCCGUGUGUGUCUCUGAAGCCUCUCGCGGGGUCUGUCAGAGCUUUGUCCCUCCUUUUGUGAGCGUCUGCUCACUCCCGGGGCUGUGUGACUCCUUCUGGGUCUCUUGCUCAGUGACUCUCUCUCUCUCUCUGUCUGUGUGUGCACUGCACAUGCGUGGUGUGACACUUUCUCUGGGUCAGGGCAGCUUGCCAUUUCGGGGGCUAAGCUGGGGAGUGGCUGCAGAGCUCUCCCUUUGUCUCCAGCACAUUCUUCUAGGGCCAGAAGCGUUGUUGUGGCAACUGGUGGCUGCCCUGUCAAUGGGGCAGAUGUGCCUGUGACCACGUCGAGGGGGCUUGAUCUGUGUCCACUCCCCCACUGGCCCCUGGGCAAGCAGGCGGCCCUCAGGACAGGCCCCCCGCUUGUCCUCCAGCUCCUCCACUCAGACGCCUGCCCAAGCCCACCGCCUCUGAGCCUGGCUGGGCCCAGGCAGGGGGCCUGGCGAGUCUGGGAACAGGCUCCGAUCUCAUUCAUUCUCAUUCAACAAAUAUUUAUUAACCCCAACUGUGUGCUGGCACUGGGAACCCAGCAGCCACAAAGACAGACAAAGUCCUGCUCUCUUGAAACUUAAUGACCAUAUUAAUACGCAAAGCUCACACUUCCACACCCUCACGGCAUGCCAGGCACUAUGUUUAGCAACUUGCAUAUAUUAACUCAUUUAAUCACUGUGAUAAUCCCAUUACUCUUCCUAUUUUACUAAUGAUGAAGUACAAGCACAGAGAUGUUAAGUUAUUUGCCCCAAACCACACAGCCAGUAAAUAGAGCCAGGAGUGAAUCCAGGGCAUCUGGCUCCAGGGUCCAUGCUCUUAAUCACUAUACUGUAUAGCCUCUAACAAAUGAGAAGCAUCAUUUCAGAUAGUGGUAAGAGCCACGAAGAAACAAAAAUAGUGGGUGAGGGGGUGCUGGGAGCCAGGUUAGUUGUGAGUAUGUCCUGAAGUGUUGGCAUUUGACAUGAGCCCUAUUAACAAGAAAGAGUCAGCCAUGCGAUGACCAGAGGGAGCAGCAUGUGCACAGGCCCAGAGGCAGUGUGGAAGCUGGCUUGUUAGAGGAACAGAAGGAGGAGGGAUAGGCUAGAUCCUGGAUAGAAAGGGGCUCUGUGCUGUACCAAAUGAACUCCCAGAUCCCACAGCCGUGUAUUUCCUGCCUGCGGAUAUUCCUGACCAGCAGGUUGACUUUCCUCCAGGUGGACAGUCAGGGACCCAGAGCCCUUCCUUCUGUGGCUUCACAGCUGGCAUCCCAUGGCCCACAUAGGUAAGGAGCGUUGGGGGUGUUGACGGGCCAGGAAGUGGAGUGCAUCGCCUCUACUCCAUCAUCCAGAACCCAGUCACAUGGCCCAGAAUAAGAGGAUCUGGGAGUGGCAAAAAGCCAGCCAGACUCAGCCCCAUAAAUGGCUGGUGGUUGUGCAGACAGAGAGAGCUCAGAUUUGGGUAUAGGUUGAGGUUGAAUCAAUGGGACUUGUUGAUGGAUGGAGUAGAGGAAGACAAGACCCAUGACUGACUCCAGGACUGCACAACUGGCAGGGUGAGCAGCUGAGGCUCGAGGGCUCCACACAGCAGAAUGGCUGUGUCCCCACCAUAGCAUCAGUGCUAAGGAGCUCUCCUUUUGUUCCGUGAUUGAGUUCUGGGAAAUCAUUCCCCUCCCUCUCCCCACACCCUUUGCUAUGUAGCUGGGCAGGUCCUGCUGGGAAGAGGUGGCAUCUGCUUCCCUACACCUUGAAUCUGGGCUGGCCUGGACUUGCUUUUGCCAGUAGGACAUGGAGAACUAAUAUAGUGAUGGUACCAAGCCAGGGCCUCAAGAAGCCUUGCAGCAUCUGCUCCCACUUUUGGAGUCCUUCCCCUCUGAUGGAAACCAGCUUGGGCCAGCCUGCUGGAGGAUGAGACCAUGUGGAAGAGACCCUGGUUGUCCUAGCAGAAGCCACCCUAGAGCAGCCUAUAGACAGCUGACCCCAAAAUAUGUGGAAGAUUCUGCUAAGCUCAGCAGCGCCACCUACUUGACCCACAGCUGACCAUAGGUGUGUGAGAGAGCCCAGUUGAGACCAGAAGUGCCCGGUGCACCCAUGCACUCAUGAGCAAAGAUCAAUCCAUAGUGUCUGGAGGCAGUUAGUUUGGGGGUAGUUUGUUAUUCAGCCAUAGCUCACUGACACAAUUCCCCAAGCAGGAAAGGAACCUGGUCAUCGAGCCUGGGACAUGAGUUCCAGUCCUGUGCCUGUCAGUGAAUUUUCAUGUGGGUGGGCCCUGUAGCAGGCUCUGGAGCACCAUCAAGGAGUGUGGUUCUGAUUCUAGCAGGCCAGGAAAAGAAUGUGGGCAAGGGCUGCAUGUGGGUGGCCCUGGGUCUCAUCCUCCCUGAAGCAGCAUGAACAGACUUUUCAGAGGAGUCUUCAGAAGAGUUUGUCAGGUGGGGGAAAGGUGAGUGCUCUGGGCAGAGGAGACAGCAAAGGACAAGAUGUACAGAGAAAUGGGACCACAGUAAUUCUGUGCUGGAGACAAAUAGGGUGUGGUGAUGAAAGAGAGGGCAUGAGAACUGCUAGAACCUCAUCUGGCAGAGUGCUUAUCUCCUAAGUGGCACCAUUGCUACUGCUGUGCAAAAGGCUGCCAGCAUGGCAGGUGCAAGGUCACUGUGGGAUAAGGAACUUGGACUUUACCUACAGGACAAUGGGGAGCCAUGGCUGGUGGUAGGUAUGGUGUGAGUUGGUCUGGCCAGAGCUUGGAGGCUGGCUUGAUGGGGUAUGAGUGGAAGCAGGGAGACCUGGAGGAAGCCUUGGCAUUCUUUCAGAUUCUCACCUGAAAGAGACAAUGGUGGCCAAAGAAGGUGAUGGGCAGUGAGAAAACUCAUGAGAUGCCCCAGGGAGAAACUGCCAGAGCUUGGCAGCCUGUUGAAUGUGCCUGGUGUUGGGGAGGAAUUUGACAAUGGCAAUCUGCAUCUGGCAUGGACAGCCUGUGUGGUCCACAGCCUGAACCUCUUAUCUCCAUCUUCCUCAAGCCUCUGUUUGAGGUGGUGGAAUGCUCAGGUGAUGAUGGCUCAGAUGAUGUGUGACAGCCCAAACUAUAGCCUUCCUUCCCUUGCUUCUGGGUGGUGAGGCCUUGAAGAGGUAAUUUCUCUUCCCUGAGACUGGUUGUCAUUUGUGAAGUGGGAGCAAGAGGCUUCCUAGGGUCUCAGGAAACAUGUCUUAGACUUGCCUUGAAGUGUGCAGGGGACAGCCCCACCUCAGGUGGGAAAAGCCUCCCCAGGACUGUCCUGACCUCAGGUGGGAAAAGCUUCCCCAGGACUGUCCUGACCUCAGGUCGAAAAUCCUCCCCAGGACUGUCCUGACCUUGGGUGGGAAAAGCCUCCUCAGGACUGUGCCUGCCCUUGGGUGGAAAAGCCUCCCCAGGACUGUCUUGACCUUUGGUGGGAAAAGCCUCCCCAGGUCUGUUCUGACUCAGGUCUUGCUGAGGGGCUCCCUUGCCAAUUGGCAGGGCACCCUCUGCAGAGAGGUUCAGAGCACAGCUGAACAGGGCACCCG